CGUCCACCAAUAGUUAACAGUUGCCUGAAGGAUAAUCCAGUUACCUUCAAUCAACUGCUGCACCUUUGAGAGCUGAAUAAAGACACCGAGCAAAGUAGAACUACAAACCAGCAGUCUGCUAGGUAAACUUCCACAGCAAAGCAAUGGCUGAACCAACAUUACCUUUAUACAGUCUCAAUGCCAAAGCAGUCAGCAGUGACGAACAGCAAGGAUGGCCGCACAUGUCACAGAGGAGUCUGCCUGGUACUUCUUAAGGACAUCUAAAAGGAACUGUCGGCCCUCUGCAUCCAACAGAUCCGGCUGUCCAUCUGUCAGUGCAACUAGAGCGGACAGGGCGGUCAACACAGCUUCCUUCUUCUCCAUACUCUUUGUGCAAUAGGAGAGGAUGACGGGAUGAUACAGCUGGGACAGCUUUCACUAUACAACUGAGGUCCACACCUGCAUCCACACAGAAGAUCAGGGUUAAUGCUUUGAAGAUAAGAAAAUAGAAGGUGAAAAAAGGAAAUGGCAGAAACCUCGAGCAGAACCAGACUCAUGUGGAACAGCCAUCUGUCGCGGCUGUGUCAGACUUGAAAAGUUGGACAAAGGGAGAUACAGAGAGAGGGAUGGACAGAAACAAACAUAGAGCAACAACAUCAACAACGAGGACAACAGUCGCAGUUGCGAAAAUAGGUUUAUGGUUACAAUGCAAAUAGUUAUGCUUCAAGUAUGUAGCAAACAACACUACCACACUUUCAAAUCAGCAAAACACAGGGGUGGACAGUAACAAAGUAAAUUUACUUGAGUACAGUACUACUUAAGUACAUUUUUUGAGUAUCUGUACUUUACUUGAGUAUUAUUUUUUGA
Molecule: long non-coding RNA, 846 nt
Organism: Notolabrus celidotus (New Zealand spotty)
Lineage: Eukaryota; Metazoa; Chordata; Actinopteri; Labriformes; Labridae
Exons: 5
Source: RefSeq, a predicted model, not a curated record